GCCCCUACCUUCCCAAUAAGAUGUCAAAGGAAAACCAUUGGAAGAAGAAAGUGGCAGCAGAAAGAGAUAUGAGAAGGAUGAUCGUGACCUUCUAGCCGUGAAACCAGGUGAUCUAUGCUUCAUACCUGUUCCUUCAAGCCUGGAAAAGAUCUUUUACUCAUAGAACAGGCUCCUCUUAAGGCAUGGAAUCUGGCCCUGCAGAUUCACAGGAGGGGAAAACAGAGAAGCAAGAGCAGGAACUGGGCAGAAAUGCGAGCCAUGAACACAGUAUUUUCCAAUAUCAAUGCCAAGUUGGCUGAACAACUAAGCAACCUGCUCAGUGAACUUGAGUUCUGGGCAGCAAUAUAUGAGAAUCCAAUGCAAGAAUCAAGGACAGUACUAGGACACCAAGCCAGAGAAUCUGUUAUGGCAGAAGAUUAAAAAGCUUUCAAAGAGAAGCAGAGAA
This is a long non-coding RNA of Urocitellus parryii (Arctic ground squirrel), 445 nucleotides long. RefSeq lists it as uncharacterized. The record is from RefSeq and is a predicted model, not a curated record. Lineage: Eukaryota; Metazoa; Chordata; Mammalia; Rodentia; Sciuridae.